AUAUAUACAUAUUUGGAGGGGAGACCAGGGAGUAACCAAAUUAACAGGGAUCUAAAAUUGCCAUUAACUAAAUGUGACUUUGAGCGUGUUUUAUGUUUUCAAUCUUUCCAACCCAAAGCCUUAGUUUUAUUCUCUGUAAAUUAUCAUAAAUUCUUGCCACACAGCAUUGUUAUGACUUGAAAUAAUGUGGAAGCACCUAGCACAUAACACUUGACAAAACUAUUGUGUGUGUGUGCUCUUGGAGCUGUGGGGUGUGUAUACACAGUCUUUUCUCUCCCUAGUUGUUCUCUAAGCCUUCCCUAUGUGCAGACAGAGCAAUAAACACAGCUCAGAGUGCAACCGCUUAUAUUUCUCCAUCAGUUAGUCUUCAUGGUCACAUGAACAAUCUAAACAUAGAAUUAAUCAUUUAAAAAUCCUUGAGCUUCCUCAUGGCACAAGUUAGCUACAAUGAUUUUUUUCCUGAGAUUUUUAAUUAUGAAUUUUGAGAACCAGUGCUGUUCCUUGCCUUCAAAAGAACUGCUAUUUGUUGUAACAGCUGCUAAGGAAACAAGGGCAAUGAAUGUCCCAAAGCGGGCUGGCACCGCAGUCCGGGCUCAGCCGUGGGCAGAUGGACACGCUAAUGGGACUGUGAUGGACGCCAUCAAUUGGCACUUCGGGUCCCCCCUUCCGCUGGAGGGGCUCGCUCGGCCAGCGACUCCGCACAAUAGCUCCCCGAUCGCCUUUCUUCAAAGGUUUACCGGAGACCGAGUCAGGGCGCCCUGGUCAGCCUGCUCUAGGCGCAGGGCAGGCCUUUCCUCUGGCGCCGCUGGUCUCACCCUAGCCCCGGCCCUCCUCCAGCUCCAGGCCCAGCUCUCAAGUGUGCUGUGUAAAUGCCCUCACUGGGCUUUCCCGGCAACAUCGGUGGCCAGGAAGGGCAACUCAUUCUCUGAGAACUGUGACUGGACAGACCUGACCCUUUGGACAUAAUCCUACGAAGUCUUCAAGGAAGUGCCACGUGGUAACCUGGUCACCCCAACCCCACAGUCCCUCUGAACUGAUUGUUAUUUGACUGAGGCUGGAACCACCUUGAAGAGGUCCACAUCUUCUGAAGGAAACAGCCCGCUGUGCUGAAACUGGCAGACAUCAAGUGACAGUUCUGCUGUGCAGGGAUGUGAAAGGUAUCUGUGGAGGGACGGUGGAGGGGCACUGCUACUCCUUCAGACAACUGCAAUAGGGAAUGCAAAUGCCCAAGGACUGGGAGAGAACAAGUAAGCCUCAAAGCAGAGAACAGGAGGAGCUGGGAAGGAGAACGAAGGGGAAAGGGCAAGACUUGGUUUGGAAUGAGGUGAGAGAUCAAGGGACCCUUGAGAGAAGGCACCAGCUUUUGAUACGUUUAAGUAUUAAGAGAUAUGGUAGGCUGUUUGUGUCCACUUAUUUUAUUAAUUUAAACUUAAUAAAUUUGCAUGGUUCAAAACGAAAUAGAUUUAAAAA
Equus caballus (horse) is the source of this 1470-nucleotide non-coding RNA. Lineage: Eukaryota; Metazoa; Chordata; Mammalia; Perissodactyla; Equidae. The record is from RefSeq and is a predicted model, not a curated record.